AACGCACAUUGCGCCUCUAGGUAUUCCUGGAGGCACGCCUGUUCGAGCGCCAUUACACACUCCAAGCUCUGCUUGAUGUUGGACGGCCCGAGAGAUCGGACGUCUGGAACGUGUGGGCGUCGGGCGUCGGACCACGAGCGUAGCAAGACCUUGCAGUCAAGUCGUUCUGUGGAGCCGGCGGUCGACCGCCUCUCUAUAAACUUAAUUCACAAGUUUGGCCUCGGAUCAGGCGGGGAUACCCGCUGAACUUAA
This 252-nucleotide unclassified non-coding RNA is filed under the name Cercospora sp. RNAcentral describes it as "partial contains 5.8S ribosomal RNA, internal transcribed spacer 2, and large subunit ribosomal RNA". RNAcentral also lists the same sequence under 2 other names. Lineage: Eukaryota; Fungi; Ascomycota; Dothideomycetes; Mycosphaerellales; Mycosphaerellaceae. The record is from RNAcentral.